GGCUGCCGGGGCUGAGGAAGAUUUGAGAAGGGGCCCUUCCUUAGCACGUGGGGAGCUGUAUGUUCCCAGCCCCAAGGCAAAGCUCCCACAAGCUGCUCAAUCUAACAGAGGGGCUCCCACGGGCUGUGAUUUUUGGUCUACAGGGAGCUGGCAUUCACCUGGGGGAAUGUCAUGCCCUUUCCCACCCUGGAGCCCAGCUCUGGGGCCUCAUCAAGUCGAGCAGUGCGGCAGCUGGGACUGGGCUGGAUUCGGAGGUUUGGGGCUCCUUGGUCGUUAGCAUGUGGACAGUGGCUGAAUCAUGGAAUACAUGACGACAUCCUGCAGAGUGAGGCCAAGGAGGGAAGAGGCCCAGAGCAGCACCUGGAGGGGGGUGGAGAGUCAGAAGAAAGUUCUUCCCUCUCUCCCAGAACCCCCUCACCGUCUUCAAUGACCAGGCUGAGGUAAGAGGGACAGACUCAGAGACCACCAGUCCGUGUGGCCGGAGCCGCUCCUCAGAGCAGGGGAGGGUGUGGGCCCCCACGUUUCCUUUCCCCUCCUUUCAGGCCAGCGCAAGCAAGGCAGCCCAUCCCCAUCCUUGUUCUGCUCCGCUUCUCAGCCAGCUCUGUUUGCAGCAAGCGCCUGGGAGGUGGGACGGGGGGCGGGGGGGCGGAGGUGUGGACAGAGGCGAGGUUUCUCUUUCUACAGCCAUAGAAGCAAGAGGCCAAAGAGGGUGAGUGACAAACCCAAAGUUACAUGACAUGUUGGGGGUCAAGCUGAGAUGAGAAGAGUGGAUGUGACCCCAUCUCCGGGACCAACAGGCCAAGAGUGUUUCAGUGACAGCACUUGGUCGGGAUGUGGUGGAGGGAGCUGGGGGUUUUCCGGCUCCCUAGAUGGGCAAAAGCAGAGCUUUCCGGGUACCUCUUCCCAGAUCCUUACCCAUAACUGCCCCCCCCAACCCGCAACAGCCCCUGUCCCCCAGGGAUGAAGAGAGAACCUGAACAUUUGAAGUCAGUAAGAGGGAAGGGCUGAGGCAGUGGCUAGAGCUCCGGUCCUCACAGCAAGCAGGUUUCUCAGGGUGGGCUAUGAGAGGUGGAGGUCCAGGUGAGCUCAGGCAUACCAAUGUGCCCUCCUGGCUUUACCUGGGCUUCAGCAGUGGCUGCCUCCCUACAAAUUGUCCUCCUGGUCCCUGGCCCCCUGCCCCUCUCACUGCUGUCCUUACAGACCCUUCCUACCUCCCCCUCCAGCAGCCCUGCCACAAAGAACCUGACCUCCCGGACUGGCCAGCCACAGCCUGGUGACACAACUUCUCUAUACUAGGGUUUCCAUUCCUACCUCCUCACCCCCUCCCCCGUGACAAGAGGCCUCCCCAGAUGUGUCUCCACAGCACAGGGACAUGAAGCCUCUUCCCAGCUGCAGGGACUGCUUACAGGUAUGAAACCACAUUCCAGUCCCCCUCUCUCCUCCCCACCCCCCAACUUCUGGGCAUUUGCUGGGAGCUGGGGCAGGGGGAGCCAAGUGCAGGAGCUGCGGUUUCCAGGCUCUUCACACCCAGCCCCAUCUGCUCUGUUGCUCUUAGCAGUGUCCAGACCCUUGAUAAGUCAUUUCUGUCCCCUGGGUCUUGCUGUUGGGGCUGGCCCUCCCUGAUUCCUAGCAUGGCCACGGGUUCUGUUGAGACCACACGUUGUGCUAUGGGAUUUUUAUAUGCGCACGUCUGCUUCUCUACCAGAUGGGAAGAUCCUUAAAGAUUGGACUCGAUCGGGACGCCUGGGUGGCUCAGUCGGUUAAGCAUCCAACUUCAGCUCAGGUCACGAUCUCACAGUCCGUGAGUUUGAGCCCCUCAUCGGGCUCUAUGCUGACAGCUCAGAGCCUAGAGCCUGCUUCAGAUUCUGUCUCCCUCUCUCUCCUCCCUCCCUUGUUCACGCUCCAUCUCCCUCUCUCUCUCAAAAAAUAAAUAAACAUUAAAAAAAAAAAAAA
Acinonyx jubatus (cheetah) is the source of this 1953-nucleotide long non-coding RNA. RefSeq lists it as uncharacterized. The record is from RefSeq and is a predicted model, not a curated record. NCBI's taxonomy places the organism in Eukaryota, Metazoa, Chordata, Mammalia, Carnivora, Felidae. The transcript is spliced from 2 exons.